This 58-nucleotide transfer RNA is filed under the name Camelus bactrianus (Bactrian camel). It matches the Rfam family "tRNA", at positions 8 to 63 of the family's 71-position model. From Rfam's summary of the family: Transfer RNA (tRNA) molecules are approximately 80 nucleotides in length. Their secondary structure includes four short double-helical elements and three loops (D, anti-codon, and T loops). The record is from Rfam by way of RNAcentral. RNAcentral also lists the same sequence under 1 other name. Lineage: Eukaryota; Metazoa; Chordata; Mammalia; Artiodactyla; Camelidae.
UAGCUCAGUGGUAAAGUGCAUGCUUAGCAUGCAUGAGGUCCUGGGUUCAAUUCCCCAG